AUGCAGUUUAAUUUAAAACUUAAAACCUUCCUACCUGAUUCAAAGAUCCUCUCUCUUCUAGGUCCAGCUCCUCCAGUGGGCUGGAGUGGAGCAGAGAAAGAGGGAAAGGGCAAACGUCUGUGUCCUCUCCUCAGUGAUUACUGCUUCUCAGUUAGCAGGUCUGCACUCCCCCCCCUUGUGGGCGGUUUCUACUCAGGCAGCCAAUUCCUGGUUUGGAUCCCCCUGAGGACUCCAUGGACAGUGCUGGCAGCUCACGGACCUCCUCCUACCCACCGAACAAUGCCAAAGUGUUCUCAUGUUCAGUGGAAAAAGUGGGACCGGGCCAAGAAGACAGCUGAUUGCAAAUUCAUUUUCCAUGCAUGGAAUAAAUGGAAAAUGUCAAUGGAUCGUACAUCGUCCUUGGAAUUGAAGUCACAAAUGCGGCUACAGAAGCCCACGUGGUAUUGAAUAAACAAAUUCGUGGCUGGAAACAUGGUCCUCAGUCAUUACUUUUUCAAUUUCACAGAUGAGGUGGUGUGGGAGUCAUUCUUCAGGUUUCUGAAACUGGAGAAAAGCCUCCUCUCCUCACCUCCUACAUGGCCUCCU
This 585-nucleotide long non-coding RNA is filed under the name Ailuropoda melanoleuca (giant panda). RNAcentral describes it as "lncRNA (ENSAMEG00000029195.1)". Lineage: Eukaryota; Metazoa; Chordata; Mammalia; Carnivora; Ursidae. The record is from RNAcentral.